This 343-nucleotide long non-coding RNA is filed under the name Homo sapiens (human). RNAcentral describes it as "HSALNT0342849". The record is from RNAcentral. Lineage: Eukaryota; Metazoa; Chordata; Mammalia; Primates; Hominidae.
AAACAUUCUUCCAGUGGCACUCAUAGAGUCACUUAAAAGGAUAAAUAUUAAUGGACAUAAUCAUGAAACUAUCUGUGAAAGUCAUUUGAAGAUAGUGAUAAAGGCGUAUUGACAGAAUCUACAUUUGAUACAUUGAAAAAAAUCAUUGAAAAAGAAGGCAGAAAUAAAUGAACAAUGAUUGAAUACCAGUAAACUUGGUGCUUUGCACACUGCCUUUGAUUUCAUUCUCCCAAAAUAUCUGUGAAAUAGAUAUUAUUUGUCAUUUGCAGAUGAGAAAACUAAGGCUCAGGGAACUUAUUUGUCCUAGGUCACACACAUACAAAAACCCAAGAAACAAUAAAAA